This 794-nucleotide long non-coding RNA is filed under the name Homo sapiens (human). RNAcentral describes it as "HSALNT0129605". The record is from RNAcentral. Lineage: Eukaryota; Metazoa; Chordata; Mammalia; Primates; Hominidae.
AACAGGAUGAAGCUUUUUUACUUUCCUUUUGUUUCUUUGCUUAGAAGAACAAAGGAUUGGGAAGAACAGAAACAGUAAAGGACAGAAUACCUAAAGAGAUCCGGCAGUGAUCACUUGGUUUGGGAAGCACUGGUACAAUGGAAAAGAACUCUGGAAACAGACUGUCCUGACUUCAAGUUCAAGACUGAUCAUUCACUGUCUGGGUAACUUUGUGCAAGUUGCAACCUUAGUGUGUUAUUUUGUAAAAUACAAAUAAAACUACUUUAGCUGCCAUGCAGCUUGAGUGAGACAAUGCAGGCUAACGGCUUAGUAUAAUGCCUGUCAUAUCAUAAAUACUCAAUAAAUAGGAUACACUUUUACAAUACUCAAUAAAUAACAACAGGUACAACUUAAAACACAAGCAGAAAGCCUCAAUUUGGAAGUUAGAAGACAGAAAUGCAAAAGCUUCAGGAAGCAAAAAGGAGGUCCCGAAACCCAAUAACUAAUAUGCAGCUUUCCUUAGUACUAAUUACUCUAUAGCUGUUUUGUGAGUACACAGCUAAUGACCCUCUGAGCAUGGAAUGUGCCCAGGGAGAUGAAAGCAGACACACAGUUUGAAGUAAACCUACAAAUAUUUAUAGCUGCUAGUUCUCACAGCUGCCCCAGCAAUUAGGACCAAAAAUUCUUCAAUAAGGAGGGGGAGUAAAACACACAAAUGACUCUGAUCCCAAGUGAGCUCAUUGUGCCUUCACAGUGAUUUCUCUACACAUUUUUGAAGCCAGUGUGAAUGAUGUAGCCUAGUGAGCUAGACCAGG